This 7733-nucleotide long non-coding RNA is filed under the name Marmota monax (woodchuck). Lineage: Eukaryota; Metazoa; Chordata; Mammalia; Rodentia; Sciuridae. The record is from RNAcentral.
AUUAAAUAGAAAAUUCCAGAAACAAACAAUCCACAAGUUGUAAGUAACUUUUAUUACAUUAUAUUAUUAUAGUCAUUUUAUGAUUAUUAUUGCUAAUCUCUGUGCUUAAUUUGUAAAUUAAACCUCAACAUAUGUAUAUACAAAGAGGAAAAAAAUAGAGUACAUAUAGGAUUUGGCACCGGGUGUGGUUUCAGGCAUCCACUGGGGUCUUAGAAUGCAUCCGUAUGUAUAAGGCGGACUACUGUUUGUCCACAUUUGUUCACGGCUUGGUUUCUUCUCAAGAGCUUCACAGUUGACCUUACAUCACUAAUUGCCAUCGGCAUUCUGAGGAACAGCAAGCCAGUGUUCAUGUCUGGAGAUGAAGAAGGUGCAGGGGAUUGUGGGGAAGUCUGGCCUCAAAGUCGGUUCUAGGCCCGGCUCUCACCCUGCUCUGGUUCUUUGCACACGCCUUUUCUCUUUAGAUGGUUUCUACUCACACACAAGGAAGGGAUGGGAAGUGAGUUGCAGGACCUCUGGCUCCAAAAUUCUAAAUCUGUAAGCUCCCAAAUUCCAACCACCUGCACAGCACUCUAGGCUCUCUCUAAUUGGAAGGAAGUUUACUCCUUCUCCUAUGGAGAACAUGAAAUGGAAGUCAUGUUUUGUGGCAUUUGCCUCUAAAAUUAGGCUUUCUAUUUUGUUGACUUUUAUAAAAUGCAUACCUCUUUUGUUUAGGCAUUAUUGUAAAAAUUGUUUUUUUUAAUAUAAUGUCAUACAUUUUUCUGUUAAUAUCGUACUAUAAUCUGAUAAGGUGGCUUUGUAGAUAAGAAACUGAAACUAAGAGGAGUCUUAUAAUAACAUUCAUCUACAGCCACGCAGUUCUCUUGGUUAAGUUAGGGCUCGGACUCAGGCUCCUUGACUCUAAAGCUCACACCCUUGAAUAAUUCCCUGUAAAUCUGAUUAAGUAGGGUAUGACUGUACUGCACAUGUCUUCUCUGAGCCUGUGAUAGGGCUGCUUAUCUUUGCUAGCUUUUACUGUUAAGAAGCCGCUCCAUCAUUGUGCAACCGGGAAGCGCACAUGCUCUCUGUAGGCCUGUCUGAUGUGCCUCUGAUCUCGUUCCCCGUCACCCUCAUGCAUUCCUGAUGGCUUAUUAGAAACUCAGACCCUCGCUUGCUCAUGCUUUUUCAUAACAGUGGCUGCAUCUCGUGCAUGUGGAUUCUUGGACCCUGGCACAUGAUAGGUUCGUGGUAAGUGCUCAAUAUUGGAAUGCAUGAAAUCAUGAAUCUCUGCACCACUUAAAUGCAAUCACAAUUCCAAAUACAAAUUUAAUUUGGACUCAAGGAACAAUGCCAUUUCUAUGAAGAAGGCUAAAAAUAAACAAUGAAAUUACAUUUAUCUGAACCAGGAAUAAAAAAAAAUGCUGACUGCCGGGGCAUUGCCAGUGUUGCCAUUUCCAGAUCCAUUUUGCUUUUUUUUUUUUUUUUUAAACCAGUGACUAUGUAGCUACAGCCCUGGAGCAGUGAAUAUGGAUGACAGGAAAGACAAAGAGCUGAGACCAGUGGAGUUCAAAACAUUCUCUCUGGAAAUGCUCGAGCUCCUUUGCUUCGAAGGUUUGGAGAAAUUUGCCAAAACUACACUGAUUGCUGAUUCAGAGAAACUGGUCUUAGGAAAGCUCACAUUUUUGUUUCCUGAUUUUUUUUUUUUUACAGUGUGGUAUUAAGCAUCAAAGAUAAACAGGCUAGAAACAUAUGGAUUGAAUUUUCCAUGAAAUGCAUGAGUUUUGAUAUAAAGGGGACACGUCCUUCAAAAAGAUAAUUUGGCCUCUACAAAACCAGCAUAUUUAAGAACUCCUUCCAUAGACUUUGGCAAAAGCAAGACCCACUGGACUCCUCCAGCCCCAGCAGCUUCCCCUUCAGUCCGUACCCCUGGCAGCCGGGCCAAAUGAAAUAGAGAACUCAGCAUCCUCCGAGGGGGCUGUCUGCCAGCCUCAACCCUGGAGAUAUGGUCAAGGGCUUCCAGCUGGUCCUUGGAGCCAAGAGUACAAUUUAAAAAUGCUGCAGUCGCUUAGCAUGUCUGCUCCGGGUUACUUGGAGAGACAGUCGUGUGGGAGCUGCCAGGCUGAGAACAGGAUCCAUGCCGUCAACUAUUUGCAAAAGCUCAGCUUCCUUCUGCUGGGGCCAGCCUCUUCCCACCCCAGACAGUCUGCUCGAGGACAAAAAAACAAGGACAAUCGUCAAGUUAAGAGUGCUCCCUAAGAAAGUAUGGCAGGUGGCAAGAAAGAUUCUUGGCCACUGAGUUCCAGCCAAAACAUUCGGCGUUCUUCCUCCUGGGGGAGGCACUGGGAGCCCGUGGUGAGUCAUCAGAGGGUGGGGGGGGGGGUGGCAGCGGAGUCCAGCUGCUGCUGAGCAGCUCGCCUGCUGCUGAUGAAAAUUAGUCAAUUCUUGGAAAGAGGAAAGAGCUCGGCUUGCCCUGCUGCCCACUUCCAGAUCCUCCUGUGGGCCUUGGGCUGGGGAAUCAGUAAUCUAGUGGAAUGCAGUUUAUUCUGCUCAGGGCACGCAGGGUGGUUUCCUUUCUACUUAGCCCUGAUACUAGGCCCAGGGAGGAGGUAUGUAUGAGUCAGACUCUGACCCCAGGAGACUUACAGGUUCCUGCAAAAUUCCCCUGGCUGUGCUAUGGAACAUUAGUCCUUGGAGAUGAACCAUUAAAACUGCCUCAUCUGCAAAUUUUAGGAGAUGUUGAAUCCCCUUUCAUUCUUCAUGGAGAUGCACAGUAUAGGGUCAUCCUAUCAAAGUAGCUCACACUUAAAGACCAACAACCCCACCCCUCCUCCUUUUCUCCUAAAACUAUUUCCCAGAGCAACUUGGAAAAUAAUAGCUUAGUACAAAGAUCCAAAAUUACCUUUUUGUGAGAUAAAUAUCAUAUUUACAGGUAACCACAAGGUGUGGACCUGGCAGAGGAGGAAGGUGGGGAGUCAGAAGGACCCUCCUGGAGAUAUGAUGCUCUCAGGAGGUUUGACCCAAGAAGGAAAGUGUUCUAGACAGAAAAUAUGGGGAUGAAGGGAAGAAGAUUCCAGGGAAAGAGGACGACUUGCAUGGGAAUGCAUAGCCUGCGGGGAGAAAGCCCUUCCCCGUGGGGCCUGAAGGGAGGAACGGGGGCGGAGUGGGGAGGUGAGUGGGAAGAACAGCAGCCAGGGCUGGAAAGGGCAGGAACCAGGUGCUCAGAUUUCCCCAGGCCACCUCAGUGACCUGAGCUGCAGGUGUGUGUAAAAACCUGGGAAGAGGGCUCUCUCUGUCCAAGUGCCCGAUGUCUAGCACAAUGUACCUUCUCUACACAUCGCAUUCAUUGAAACUCACAAAAUCCAGUUUUCUGCAAAACAACAGCCUCCGAAGACUGGGAAGCAUGGCUCCUAAUGUUUGGGAACGAUCACUCCAAAAGUACAUUUUGGUUCUGGGCCUGGGGAAGCACGUCUCAUGAGGAACAAGCAGAAGGUAACUCAGUAGCCUGACUUAGGCCCGGGGACCUGUGAGGUGGAGUGAAGUUGAGAAUCCCAAGGGUGAACUAGAGAUUGUCCAGGAAAGAAUGAGACCAGGGUGGUGAUCCUGCUUUAAGGAAAAAUUCAGCGCUGUGUGCUGACCAGGCACGAGGUCCUCCAGAAAGGGGUGAGCUGGGGUCAGAAAGACUGGCUUCUUGUUCCUGCUUGAGGACAGCAGGUGUGGGCAACGGCUCUCUUGUAGAGUUGGCUGGAGACCAAAAGAGCAUAUUUGUUCCGACACACUGCAAGUUCUCCGUGUUAGCAAGAGCUCAACAUGAGGCUGAACAUUAAAAUCAGUCACAUUGAAAUCUGUAGAUUCAAGAGAAGGGACUGUUGGAGAGCGGGACACCAUCCUGCCUUCUUCAACACAUCCCCCAGGGACCCUGACAUCAACGCAGAGGAAUCAUUUUCGCUUCCAUUUUGCAUGAAUGAACCAAGCCUGGGAAACACUUCCCCAGGUUCUUGCACCUCCUCAGGGACAGAGGCAGGGUGUGGUAGCAGGUCAGUGUGGUUGCAAAGUCCCUGCUCUUUUUGUCCUUUGCCUUCAUCCUGAAACAAAGUUUAUUAAGUGCUCUGGAGUGGUUUGAGUAAAAUCGAUCUGCCCUCCAAAGUCAAGAGCAUGCAGUAAUGGAACAGGGAUGAGAUGGAAAAUGCAGAGGCUAAGUGUUUCCUAAUGGGGCUUCUCGGCAAGGAAGUGUGACAUCGCGCAGAGGCUGCUCCAGAUGGGGUGGCCUUGGAGCCCAGUCAUUUGGGACACGCAGCAAUGGAUACGGUAGUGACCAGGUGAGCUGGAGCCCAUGCACAUGUGGCUCUUACCAUUUUUAGGCCACUUCCACCAAUAUCAGGUGGGUCUGGCUCUGCUUCACGUGAUCAAUAACCCUACCCACCCCACUCCAGAAUCCUCCACUUGGAGGACUAGCCACAUGGGGGAAAUCUUAGAGGCUGAUUCAGACUCUAACUGGACAAUUUCAUGAGAGCAGAGUUUGCUGCCUUCUCUGAGCAAAUGCACAGGUGCCACCCAUGUGGGAGGUGCAAUAGAGAGCUCAGACUGCAUAACAAAAUGCCACCAACUGGCUGCUUUAAACAGGAGCGAUUUAUAUUUACAAUAAGAUAAAUUUGUUUUCACAUUCAGUGCCUAGAAGUCCCAGGUCAGGGUGCCAGUGGGUCUGGCUUCUCCCGAGGCCUCCCUUCUUGGUCUGCAGAGGGCCACCUUCUGGCUGUGUCCUCCCAGGGCCAUUUCUCUGCACACACACACACCAGGCAUCUCUCUUGUUUAAAGGAUAUCAGUUAUAUGAGAUUGGAGUCCCCGGUUGACCUCAUUCAGCCCUAAUUACUUCUUUAAGGCUUUCUCUCUAAAUGUAGUCACCUUGGGGGUGAAGGUUCUGAUAUAUAAGUUUUGGGAGGCCACAGUUCAGUGAACAACAAGAAGAAGGGAUUAUAAUGGGGAAUUUUCAUUGCAAAUGUAUUUAAAUGCAAAAAAAGGAGUCCAGUUUGCAAUGAGAUGUCAUUUAGAAAUGUGUGGUACAGUGGUUCUCAACUCUGUCUAGACAUGGAGUCACCGAGGACCGAUGGCUGGGUCCCAACCCAGAACAGAAAGAACCUCACACACUAGUGUAUUGGGGUUCUUCAGAGAACAGAGCCAAUAGAGUAUGUGUACAUGCAUGCAUGUGUGUGUGUGUAAAUUGAGAGAGAGAGAAAGAGAGAAAGACAGAGAGAGAAAGAGAGAGAGAGAGAGAGACAGAGAGAGAGAGAGAGAGAGAGAGAGAGAUUGAUUCUGAGGCUUCAAGGAACCUACUCAUGAGAUUGUAAGUUUGGAAAGUCCCGAAUCUGUUGGCAACCAGCAGCCAGGAGACCCAGCAGAGUUGAUGCUACAUCUUGAGUUAGACCACCUGAAGGCAGAAUUCCACCCUUCUGGGGAGAAGUCAGACUGUUUUAUCUUGAGGCUUUCAACUGAUUGGACAAGUCUCACUCACAUUAUGGAGGUGAAUCUACUAUACUCAGAUUGAAAAAUCUCAUCUAAAACAUACCUUUAUGAAAACAUUCAGAGGGAUGUGGAUGUUUGAACAAACACCAGGGCACCAUGGCCUGGCCAAGUUAAUAUAUAAAAUUAACAUCACAAAUGCUGUUCUUCAAUAGUGCCCCUGCUGAUUCCAACGGAGAGUCAGGGUUGAGUACUGCUGAUACAGAACCAGAACUUUCAGAGGCAAGAAAUCUGAUCAAACCUGACAUACGGGCUCUCCACCCUGCCUGAGUCUCCCUCAGUUCCUUAGUUUCUUCUCUUCUGCCUACCUAUGGUGCUCCUUGGCUACACAUUCUAAUUUUCUGAGAGCAUUAAAAAUUCUGAUGCUCAGGAUCACUGCCAGGGAUAUUUGUUUAACUUGGUAGGGAGUAAUCAAAAAAAUCACAAAUGCAAAAUGCAGCCUGGAUGUCAAGGGCUUGGAAACGUCUCCAGGAGAUUCUAAUGGGACUGCCAAGUUGAGAACAGCCGUUCCAGUAGCUCCACGUAUUUACUGAAACUUCAACUUUACUUGGGUUGCUGAGAAACUUACCUUUGCAGCUCCACCUUGUUUGUAGAUCUUGCCUGACAUGGGAGUACAGGACUGUGGAUGGGCUUGGAUAUUUAUUUCUGCCACAAACUCUGAUUGACCAGUGUCCCUGAGGUGCCACUGUGAGCAUCCAGCCGAUCCCUCAGGGAGAACAGGAUGGAGACAGUGGCACUGCUCAAGGAGUGACAGUGAUUGGAGCAAGUGGAGGUCAGUGUCUCCAGCACACACCGUGCUGCUUGCUGGGCCGGGGGGGGGGGCGGAAUCUGUGUGACCAGGGACUUCUCAAGGUGGGAAAGGGAAUGGGGAGAGGUAUCCUGGGCUAGGCCAGAGCUGCUCAACCGGCCCAGCCAGGCGUGGGGUGGGCCACUCCGGAAGUGGCAGGCGGUCUGGUGCUGGUGAGUCACUGGACUGCUGGACAGUGGGUGAGAUUAGAUGGUAAGGAGCUCUGAGGGCCAGAGUGAGGGGUGGGGACUUCUCCUGCACCUCCUAAGGUCACCACGACAGAGAGCAUUUACUGAUGUUUUGACAAACAAUAUCUGAGGCAGCACUGGGAGGAGGAAGGACAGACUCAAAGGAAAGUUCUAGAAACAAUCAAGGUAAACAAUUCUGAGGACCUGGAUCAGGGAAUUGCUUAUGGAGAUGGACGGGCUAAUGGGAGGCUGGAGACAGGGGAGCCAGUCGAGGGGCAGGGCCAGAGUCUGCUCCAAGGGCUCCCACGUGUGUGCACAUACAUGUGCACACGUGCACACACUGCAGAUGGGAUGUGCCAGGCCUCACGCCGGGCACUGUGACAGACACGGUCACUGGCCUCUCUGUCCUGUCCUGGGGUGUGAUGGAAACAUGAAAGGGAGAAAGCAGCCUCCUGGACUCCAGGCUGCAGGGAAAGUGUCCAAGGAAGGACCAUCUGAGUCGAGGCCUGAAAAGUGAGUUGGAGUCCGGGGAGAAGGGCAGCUGGGGGCAGGAGGCUGGGCAGCCAGCAGAGGGACUGGCAGCAGGAAGUCAGGAAGGAGGGCCUGUGGGCCAGUGUGUCGUCUCCGUGGAAUGGGCUCCUCCUGAUGGCACAUGGGUGUGCGGGGACCGUGGUGGGCAUCCCCACCUGGAGAGGGAAGCGGGGGCAGAUCCAGUGACGCCAAGACGCUGAGCAAUGCAGUGUGCACACACCACCCGGCAAGCCGUCUGCUCAGCAGCAAAGAAAGGGGCAAGGAACUGUGGACAGAUUGAAUGACAGAGGGACAAUGCUCCUCUUUAUAAAAUGAAUCCGAAAAUGCGGGACACUUUGAUCAUGCAAAACUGUGAACAGUGAGGCUCUAGAUUCUCAAUAGACGUCACCUUAAGGAAAAAUUCAAACUCUUUGAAAUGACGGUUCCCUCUCCAUUCUCCCUUGGCAUCUCCAUCGUCUAUCUGGGGAACACCUGCUUGCCCUCUGUGUCUCAUUCAUGGGCCGACUUCCCUGAGAAACUAUCUCAACUUCCUCAUAAGACAAAGUCAGGUGACCCCUUCCCAAAACCAAAAUGGCACCCCUAUUUGAUCAUGUGUCAGGCAGUAUUCAGAGCCUCAGCUCAGAGUUCUGGCUGCUCCUUCAGCUGGGAACUGGGGUGGGUCCAUUCCUAAUCCCUGGAGCCCAACGCUACCACAGUCAAUAUUGAUGGACACUCGUCUAUCUGUUCACCCCCCUCAA